GAUGAACGCUGGCGGCGUGCCUAAUACAUGCAAGUCGAGCGAAUGGAUUAAGAGCUUGCUCUUAUGAAGUUAGCGGCGGACGGGUGAGUAACACGUGGGUAACCUGCCCAUAAGACUGGGAUAACUCCGGGAAACCGGGGCUAAUACCGGAUAACAUUUUGAACCGCAUGGUUCGAAAUUGAAAGGCGGCUUCGGCUGUCACUUAUGGAUGGACCCGCGUCGCAUUAGCUAGUGGGUGAGGUAACGGCUCACCAAGGCAACGAUGCGUAGCCGACCUGAGAGGGUGAUCGGCCACACUGGGACUGAGACACGGCCCAGACUCCUACGGGAGGCAGCAGUAGGGAAUCUUCCGCAAUGGACGAAAGUCUGACGGAGCAACGCCGCGUGAGUGAUGAAGGCUUUCGGGUCGUAAAACUCUGUUGUUAGGGAAGAACAAGUGCUAGCUGAAUAAGUUGGCACCUUGACGGUACCUAACCAGAAAGCCACGGCUAACUACGUGCCAGCCGCCGCAGUAA
This 515-nucleotide ribosomal RNA is filed under the name uncultured bacterium. Its description in RNAcentral is "partial 16S ribosomal RNA". It matches the Rfam family "Bacterial small subunit ribosomal RNA", at positions 28 to 523 of the family's 1533-position model. The record is from RNAcentral.